CUUGACGACCAUAGAGCGUUGGAACCACCUGAUCCCAUCCCGAACUCAGCAGUGAAACGAUGCAUCGCCGAUGGUAGUGUGGGGUUUCCCCAUGUGAGAGUAGGUC
This 106-nucleotide ribosomal RNA is filed under the name Pseudomonas khorasanensis. Lineage: Bacteria; Pseudomonadati; Pseudomonadota; Gammaproteobacteria; Pseudomonadales; Pseudomonadaceae. RNAcentral also lists the same sequence under 1 other name. The record is from RNAcentral.